Molecule: ribosomal RNA, 844 nt
Filed under: uncultured bacterium
Lineage: Bacteria
Description: bacterial SSU rRNA
Rfam family: Bacterial small subunit ribosomal RNA
Source: RNAcentral
AGACGGUAGCUCAACUAUCGCAGUGCCCUUGAUACUGAAGAGCUUGAAUGGACUAGAGGUAGGCGGAAUGUGACAAGUAGCGGUGAAAUGCAUAGAUAUGUCACAGAACACCGAUUGCGAAGGCAGCUUACUAUGGUUUUAUUGACGCUGAGGCACGAAAGCGUGGGGAUCAAACAGGAUUAGAUACCCUGGUAGUCCACGCCCUAAACGAUGAAUACUCGCUGUUAGCGAUACACAGUUAGCGGCUAAGCGAAAGCGUUAAGUAUUCCACCUGGGGAGUACGGUCGCAAGAUUGAAACUCAAAGGAAUUGACGGGGGCCCGCACAAGCGGAGGAGCAUGUGGUUUAAUUCGAUGAUACGCGAGGAACCUUACCCGGGCUUGAAAGUUAGUGAAUGAUUUAGAGAUAGAUCAGUGAGCAAUCACACGAAACUAGGUGCUGCAUGGCUGUCGUCAGCUCGUGCCGUGAGGUGUUGGGUUAAGUCCCGCAACGAGCGCAACCCCUAUGUUUAGUUGCCAGCACGUUAUGGUGGGGACUCUAAACAGACUGCCUGUGCAAACAGAGAGGAAGGAGGGGACGACGUCAAGUCAUCAUGGCCCUUACGUCCGGGGCUACACACGUGCUACAAUGGAUGGUACAGAGGGCAGCAAGCUGGCAACAGCAAGCCAAUCUCCAAAAGCCAUUCACAGUUCGGAUAGAGGUCUGCAACUCGACCUCUUGAAGUUGGAUUCGCUAGUAAUCGCAUAUCAGCAAUGAUGCGGUGAAUACGUUCCCGGGCCUUGUACACACCGCACGUCAAGCCAUGGAAGUUGGGGGUACCUAAAGUAUGUAACCGCAAGGAGCUC